GCACAAGCGGAGGAACAUGUGGUUUAAUUCGAUGAUACGCGAGGAACCUUACCUGGGCUUAAAUGUAGAGUGCAUUUUUUAGAGAUAGAAAUUCCCUUCGGGGCUUUCUGCAAGGUGCUGCAUGGUUGUCGUCAGCUCGUGCCGUGAGGUGUCGGGUUAAGUCCCAUAACGAGCGCAACCCUUAUCGUUAGUUGCCAGCUGGUAAAGCAGGGGACUCUAGCGAAACUGCCACCGUAAGGUGAGAGGAAGUGGGGAUGACGUCAAAUCAGCACGGCCCUUAUGUCCAGGGCUACACACGUGUUACAAUGGCCGGUACAGAGGGCAGCUACCUGUUGACAGGAUGCGAAUCUCGAAAGCCGGUCUCAGUUCGGAUCGGAGUCUGCAACCCGACUCCGUGAAGCUGGAUUCGCUAGUAAUCGCGCAUCAGCCAUGGCGCGGUGAAUACGUUCCCGGGCCUU
Molecule: ribosomal RNA, 458 nt
Filed under: uncultured Sphingobacteriales bacterium
Lineage: Bacteria; Pseudomonadati; Bacteroidota; Sphingobacteriia; Sphingobacteriales
Description: bacterial SSU rRNA
Rfam family: Bacterial small subunit ribosomal RNA
Source: RNAcentral